This 1343-nucleotide ribosomal RNA is filed under the name Lonsdalea populi. RNAcentral's name for it is "bacterial LSU rRNA". It matches the Rfam family "Bacterial large subunit ribosomal RNA", at positions 1626 to 2925 of the family's 2925-position model. Lineage: Bacteria; Pseudomonadati; Pseudomonadota; Gammaproteobacteria; Enterobacterales; Pectobacteriaceae. The record is from RNAcentral.
UCCAGGUAACACGAAAUCGUACCCCAAACCGACACAGGUGGUCAGGUAGAGAAUACCCAGGCGCUUGAGAGAACUCGGGUGAAGGAACUAGGCAAAAUGGUGCCGUAACUUCGGGAGAAGGCACGCUGGCGUUGGUGAAGGGACUGGCUCCCGGAGCUGAUACCAGUCGCAGAUACCAGCUGGCUGCAACUGUUUAAUAAAAACACAGCACUGUGCAAACACGAAAGUGGACGUAUACGGUGUGACGCCUGCCCGGUGCCGGAAGGUUAAUUGAUGGGGUCAGCCGCAAGGCGAAGCUCUUGAUCGAAGCCCCGGUAAACGGCGGCCGUAACUAUAACGGUCCUAAGGUAGCGAAAUUCCUUGUCGGGUAAGUUCCGACCUGCACGAAUGGCGUAAUGAUGGCCAGGCUGUCUCCACCCGAGACUCAGUGAAAUUGAACUCGCUGUGAAGAUGCAGUGUACCCGCGGCAAGACGGAAAGACCCCGUGAACCUUUACUAUAGCUUGACACUGAACCUUGAGCCUUGAUGUGUAGGAUAGGUGGGAGGCUUUGAAGUGUGGACGCCAGUCUGCAUGGAGCCGACCUUGAAAUACCACCCUUUAAUGUUUGAUGUUCUAACGUGGGCCCCUGAACGGGGUUGCGGACAGUGUCUGGUGGGUAGUUUGACUGGGGCGGUCUCCUCCCAAAGAGUAACGGAGGAGCACGAAGGUUAGCUAAUCCUGGUCGGACAUCAGGAGGUUAGUGCAAAGGCAUAAGCUAGCUUGACUGCGAGAGUGACGGCUCGAGCAGGUGCGAAAGCAGGUCUUAGUGAUCCGGUGGUUCUGAAUGGAAGGGCCAUCGCUCAACGGAUAAAAGGUACUCCGGGGAUAACAGGCUGAUACCGCCCAAGAGUUCAUAUCGACGGCGGUGUUUGGCACCUCGAUGUCGGCUCAUCACAUCCUGGGGCUGAAGUAGGUCCCAAGGGUACGGCUGUUCGCCGUUUAAAGUGGUACGCGAGCUGGGUUUAGAACGUCGUGAGACAGUUCGGUCCCUAUCUGCCGUGGGCGUUGGAAGAUUGAGGGGGGUUGCUCCUAGUACGAGAGGACCGGAGUGAACGCACCACUGGUGUUCGGGUUGUGAUGCCAAUUGCAUUGCCCGGUAGCUAAGUGCGGAAGAGAUAACCGCUGAAAGCAUCUAAGCGGGAAACUUGCCCCGAGAUGAGUCUUCCCUGGGACUUCGAGUCCCCUGAAGGGCCGUUGAAGACGACGACGUAGAUAGGCUGGGUGUGUAAGCGUAGCGAUACGUUGAGCUAACCAGUACUAAUGACCCGAGAGGCUUAACCUUACAACACCGAAGGUGUUUUAG